UUCCCCAUGAGUUCUCUGCUGAACUCUGGCAUUAUUUGCUAGACAUUCUAUUCAAGGUGUGAUUAUCUGCUCAUAAUUUUGGUUCUUCUUUCUGGAGAGGGCAAGAUGUCUCUAGCCAGCCAUCUUGAACUGUGGUCUAGGAUACUCUGCUUAGCUCCUGAGUGUCAUUCCACCAUUGGGAGGGAGAAGGAGCAUAGAUGCUAUGGAGUUGAGUGCAAGAGUCAAUGGUAUUUUCUCAUAGCAGCCUGAAGAAACUAAAUUAUGAGACCAUCAUGGAGGCCAGUUCCAGAAGAAAACUUCAGAUUCUGUGUUUAUGUUGGCUUCCUUCUCCCCGUCUCCUUCAUGAUGAAAGAGAAACAACUGUCAGCAGGGUUCCAUUCUAUAUGGCUUAUACUUCAAAGAGAAAGAGAAACUUGUCUCUCCCCGAUUCAGAAUGAAGUCUCAGCAGAUGAUUUUUACUGAUUGCUCUAGCAUGGAUAACUUGACAUCACUUUAUUUAUCACUGUGGCCAGGAGAAGUAGGGACCAUAAUAGGUCAGGCCAAGGUCAAAUGGAAAUCUCUGUGUUAGGAGGGGUAGAAUACCACAACUGAAAAUCUCAUCAGAACCACACGGCAUGAGCAAGGCACCAAUCCACAAAGGUUUUUGCUGAAAGAAUCAAGAGUUCAGUGACAGAAGAAUGAGGGUCAGAGAAGCAUGAAGACAAAGGAGAAUGAGGGUCAUUUAUUCAAUAAACAUUUGUAACACUCAUACUAUAAGCCAGGCACUAUGCUAGGAGCAUUCAGAAGUACUGUCUCACUUAAUAAAGCACUACUACCUCCAUUUUGCAGAUAAUAAAACUGAGGCAAGUAU
Gorilla gorilla gorilla (western lowland gorilla) is the source of this 850-nucleotide long non-coding RNA. RefSeq lists it as uncharacterized. NCBI's taxonomy places the organism in Eukaryota, Metazoa, Chordata, Mammalia, Primates, Hominidae. The transcript has 3 exons. The record is from RefSeq and is a predicted model, not a curated record.